Long non-coding RNA from Homo sapiens (human), 1001 nucleotides. RefSeq annotates it as cancer susceptibility 16. The record is from RefSeq and is marked validated. Lineage: Eukaryota; Metazoa; Chordata; Mammalia; Primates; Hominidae. The transcript is spliced from 4 exons.
AGAAUGUUCCUUGCUGCAGAUGCAUUGGCCCCAUCUGCAGGUCCUCUUUGACACCUACCUUACUCUCUCCCUCCACUCACACUCUGAGAACUGUGCUCAGGGGCAGCGCUACAACUUCCACAUUGGUCUUUACAGGGCUUGAGUGAUUAUUUCAAGAACAGAACGCUGUGUGGAAACCUUUACCAUAUUUCGUUGUAUCUAAGACACAUUUUUUUUUUUUGAAAUUUAACAUCUCUAAGGUUGGGUUAUGUUUCUUCAUCAUUGUCAGGUUGGAGCUUAAUCAGCAGCACUUUUUUUUAAUGUCACACACAGUAAUGGUGAUGCAUCUCACAAUUGAGAUCAUCUUAGACAUGAUGGAAUAUGGAAUCGUGUGCCUGUUACAAGCCAGGCUCUUGUCUGGGUUCUAGAGACGGUGGAAACCAAGACAGCACCAUCCUCUAGUGGUGUUCACAUCCCACCACAGUGGAGUCAGGACUUUGAAGUCCUCCAUUGGAUCUUCUCGGAAGAUGAGGGAAAUGAGAGAGUGUGGAGAGAGAUUUUGUAAGUCCGGUCUGGAAGUGGUCAUUGUUCAGAAUCCAGCCACGUGGGUACAUGGAACUGUAAGGCUAUUUCAACAUGGGAAACUGAAAUCGGGCAUAUCCCUGCGGAAGAAGCUGUCUCUUAGCGAAGAAUAAAACUGUGGACUGACCCCCACCCAUUUGCGAAGAAAGUACUGGGUCUUCAGCUUUCAUUGUUCAGCCGGUGGUCUUUGUGGACAACACCAGGGGCCCCUCCUGCUGAAGACUGUCUGGACUUCCUGAUUUUCACUCCUGUAUAAACCCCCUCCCCCAUUACUACCUUUGUCUCCUUGGGGAAAAAAAAUGUUUUUCACUUAAGCAAAAUAAUAACUACCCAGUAUUUGUUUCUGGAGUGAAAUUGUAAACUUCAUUGUACAUUCUUCCUGGCUUUGAUGCUUAUCGUGAAGAGUUCAGUGAAAAUAAAUUGUUUUUAUGAAAGCAGAG